RNAcentral lists this ribosomal RNA (253 nucleotides) under uncultured bacterium. Its description in RNAcentral is "partial 16S ribosomal RNA". It matches the Rfam family "Bacterial small subunit ribosomal RNA", at positions 524 to 776 of the family's 1533-position model. The record is from RNAcentral.
UACGGAGGGGGCAAGUGUUGUUCGGAAUUACUGGGCGUAAAGGGCGCGCAGGCGGCUUGGCAAGUCGAGUGUGAAAUACCUCAGCUUAACUGAGGAACGGCGCUCGAAACUACCUCGCUUGAGGGCGGGAGAGGGAAGUGGAACUCUCGGUGUAGGGGUGAAAUCUGUAGAUAUCGAGAGGAACACCGGUGGCGAAGGCGGCUUCCUGGCCCGUACCUGACGCUGAGGCGCGAAAGCGUGGGGAGCAAACAGG